RNAcentral lists this ribosomal RNA (876 nucleotides) under uncultured archaeon. RNAcentral's name for it is "bacterial SSU rRNA". It matches the Rfam family "Archaeal small subunit ribosomal RNA", at positions 21 to 903 of the family's 1478-position model. The record is from RNAcentral.
GGUCACUGCUAUUGGGAUUCGAUUAAGCCAUGCGAGUCGAGAGGGUUCGGCCCUCGGCUGACGGCUCAGUAACACGUGGAUAAUCUGCCCUUAGGUGGAGGAUAAUCUCGGGAAACUGAGGACAAUACUCCAUAGGUUUAGGAGGCUGGAAUGCAUCUAGACUGAAAGCUCCGGCGCCUAAGGAUGAGUCUGCGGACUAUCAGGUAGUAGUCAGGGUAAAGACCUGACUAGCCUACGACGGAUACGGGUUGUGAGAGCAAUAACCCGGAGACGAUAUCUGAGACACGAUAUCGGGCCCUACGGGGCGCAGCAGGCGCGAAAACUUCACACUGUGCGAAAGCACGAUGAGGGAAUCCCAAGUGCUUGCUCGUAAGAGUAAGCUGUUUUUCUGUCUAAAACGCAGAGAGAGUAAGAGCUGGGUAAGACGGGUGCCAGCCGCCGCGGUAAUACCUGCAGCUCAAGUGGUGGCCGCUAUUAUUGGGCCUAAAACGUCCGUAGCCGGUUUAGUAAAUGCCUGGGUAAAUCGUGUAGCUUAACUAUACGAAUUCCGGGUAGACUGCUAAACUUGAGACCGGGAGAAGCCAGAGGUACUCCUAGGGUAGAGGUGAAAUUCUGUAAUCCUAGGGGGACCACCAGUGGCGGAGGCGUCUAGCUAGAACGGGUCUGACGGUGAGGGACGAAACCCUGGGGCGCAAACCGGAUUAGAUACCCGGGUAGUCCAGGGCGUAAACGCUGCUUGCUUGAUGUUAGUUGGGCUCCGAGCCCAAUUAGUGUCGGAGAGAAGUUGUUAAGCAAGCUGCCUGGGAAGUACGGUCGCAAGGCUGAAACUUAAAGGAAUUGGCGGGGGAGCACAGCAACGGGUGGAGCGUGCGGUUU